This 393-nucleotide ribosomal RNA is filed under the name uncultured bacterium. RNAcentral describes it as "bacterial SSU rRNA". It matches the Rfam family "Bacterial small subunit ribosomal RNA", at positions 30 to 424 of the family's 1533-position model. The record is from RNAcentral.
AGUGAACGCUGGCGGCAGGCCUAACACAUGCAAGUCGAGCGGCAGCGCGGGGGCAACCCUGGCGGCGAGCGGCGGACGGGUGAGGAAUGCAUCGGAAUCUACCUCGUUGUGGGGGGAUAACGUAGGGAAACUUACGCUAAUACCGCAUACGACCUACGGGUGAAAGUGGGGGACCUUCGGGCCUCACGCGAUGAGAUGAGCCGAUGCCGGAUUAGCUAGUUGGCGGGGUAAAGGCCCACCAAGGCGACGAUCCGUAGCUGGUCUGAGAGGAUGAUCAGCCACACUGGAACUGAGACACGGUCCAGACUCCUACGGGAGGCAGCAGUGGGGAAUAUUGGACAAUGGGCGCAAGCCUGAUCCAGCCAUGCCGCGUGUGUGAGGAAGGCCUCGGUU